AUGUCGUCUAACUCCUCCUCGGCGGCUCCGCCGCCGCCCUCCAAGAGCAGCCCUCCUCCAUCGGCUGCCCAGCCGCCGUCACCGGGUUCGUCGCCGUCCACCUCCAAUUCGUCCUCGCCGGCGCCAUCCAGCUCCAACGACCCCUCGCCUCCGCCUGCGCCGCCCAAGUCCCGUGGCGCUCCGGUGCCACCGGGCAGGAACCCCUCUCCGCCAGCCCAACCCUCCAGAGGGUCCGAUGAGUCGAGCAGGUCAUCCUCACAGGCUUCGCACCGUGUCAGCUCCAACACCACGGCCGAGAUCAUUUUCGCCGCCGCCGGGGCCGCGAUGCUCCUCGCGCUCCUCAUCGCGGCCUGCGUCUGCUGCUCAAGGAGGACCGCGCCGAGGAGGCGGCGGAAGCCUCACAAUCCCAUGCAUUUCUACGCGGAUACCUCCGGCAACAAAGGUAAAACUGCAACGCUCUCACGGUCACCGUCGAUCGCCCUUGCAUGCCCCGUGGUGCUGUUCCUCUUGCUCUUGAUUUGCGUACGUGUAGUUAACCACCAUUGUCAUGGCGUGGCAACCACAGCCAGCAGCACGUACUACACCGGCGGGCCGCAGCCGCAGUGGCAGAGCGGCACCGGCGCUGGGCCGUCGACGAGCACGUUCGACCCACCGGGGGGCCCCUGGCACAACUCUGGCGUCCACUCCAGCCCGCGCGACCAGCCGACGUCACCGCCCGCACCGCACGAGACGCUGGGGCUCGGCAGGGGCACGUUCACCUACGAGGAGCUCGCGGCGGCGACGGGCGGCUUCUCGCAGGCGAACCUGCUCGGGCAGGGCGGGUUCGGGUACGUGCACAAGGGGGUGCUCCCCAGCGGCAGGGCGGUGGCCGUGAAGCAGCUCAAGUCCGGGAGCGGGCAGGGGGAGCGCGAGUUCCAGGCCGAGGUGGACAUCAUCGGCCGGGUGCACCACCGCCACCUCGUGUCCCUCGUCGGCCACUGCAUCGCCGGCACCAGCCGCAUGCUCGUCUACGAGUUCGUCCCCAACAAGACGCUCGAGUUCCACCUCCAUGGGGAAGGGUCGCCGGCGAUGGCAUGGGCGACGAGGCUGCGCAUCGCGCUCGGGGCGGCGAAGGGGCUCGCCUACCUGCACGAAGACUGCCAUCCACGGAUCAUCCACCGCGACAUCAAGUCCGCCAACAUCCUCCUGGACAACAACUUCGAAGCCAUGGUGGCGGACUUCGGGCUGGCCAAGCUGACGUACGACGGCAUCACGCACGUCUCGACGCGGGUCAUGGGGACGUUCGGGUACCUGGCGCCGGAGUACGCGUCGAGCGGGAAGCUGACGGAGAAGUCGGACGUCUACUCCUACGGCGUGAUGCUGAUGGAGCUCCUGACGGGGCGGCGGCCCAUCGACGCCACCGCGCACUUGGUCCUGGAGGACGGCCUCGUCGAGUGGGCGAGGCCGGCCCUGUCGCGCGCGCUCGCCGACGGCGACUACGACGCCGUCGCCGACCCGAGGCUGCAGGGCAGCUACGACCCGGUGGAGAUGGCGCGCGUGGUGGCCAGCGCCGCCGCCUGCGUCCGCCACUCGGCCAAGAAGCGCCCGAAGAUGAGCCAGAUCGUGAGGGCGCUGGAGGGCGACAUGUCGCUGGAGGACCUGAACGACGGGGUGCGGCCGGGGCAGAGCAGGCUGUUCGGGGAGGAGGCGGGGUCGUACAGUUCCGACAUGAACCGGGCCAAAGAGGUGGCCGUGGCGAGCCCCGAGUAUAGCGGCAGGUCCGGACGGCCCUCGCCGGUCAGCAGCGACAGGCCAAUCUCCGACGAGAUGAGUCCGGCGGAGAGACAGCCGCCGCACCUCUGA
This 1842-nucleotide ribosomal RNA is filed under the name Triticum aestivum (bread wheat). RNAcentral describes it as "partial small subunit ribosomal RNA". Lineage: Eukaryota; Viridiplantae; Streptophyta; Magnoliopsida; Poales; Poaceae. The record is from RNAcentral.